GUCGCUGUGGCGCAAUUGGUUAGCGCGUUCGGCUGUUAACCGGAAGGUUGGUGGUUCAAGCCCACCCAGGGACG
Molecule: transfer RNA, 74 nt
Filed under: Petromyzon marinus (sea lamprey)
Lineage: Eukaryota; Metazoa; Chordata; Hyperoartia; Petromyzontiformes; Petromyzontidae
Description: tRNA-Asn (GTT) (tRNA-Asn-GTT-23-1, tRNA-Asn-GTT-23-2)
Rfam family: tRNA
About the family: Transfer RNA (tRNA) molecules are approximately 80 nucleotides in length.
Source: RNAcentral